Molecule: unclassified non-coding RNA, 1383 nt
Filed under: Hevea brasiliensis (rubber tree)
Lineage: Eukaryota; Viridiplantae; Streptophyta; Magnoliopsida; Malpighiales; Euphorbiaceae
Source: RNAcentral
CGUCUGUGCAUGUAAAUAUCUUUGCCCUGUUCCAGAUUCUUCUUGCAAUUGUUACAGAAACUGAGGAAAUUUUCUGGGGAAAAACUCGUUCGAUCUUUGAAAAACCCGUUUUCUUUUCUCACCGGCGAGUACACGCCGGAGCCGCUUUCAAUUACGCAAUCGCCGAAUAUGUGUGUGGUUCGAGGAUUUGGGCCGUGAGCGAUUACACAAGUGUAAUCUUCAGACUGUUCGAUUUCGUCGGCGGAGAGACAGCCGGUGAAAACCAGAGGGGAAUUUGGAGUUUCCUGGCCGGAGCUUGACGAUCCAAACGCCGAUUUCUUCGCCGGAGACAGAGAUGAAACAGGGGAUAAGGAACCCAGAUGGGAAUUCCUCGUCUUGAUCCCGAAUUCGACUGGCGAAAUUGGAGACUCGUCGGCCGGAGAAACGAACGGCGGAAGAGGAGGAAUUUGAAUCUUCAAUUGAGAUCCCAAUAGAACCAUUCGUGUAUCGGGUUUUGUGGGUUUCGGAUCGGAAUUCUCUUCCGUUAGAGCGUCGACAAUGCCGAGACCGAUCCCUUUUGAAUCCCACGGCCGUUUGGACUCUGUUAAUUGGGUUCUGGGCGAAUUUGAUUCUGCCCAAAACGAAUUUCUCAGACCCAAAAACGGUUCGAGAAUUGAAGUUGGACUCAUUACAGCUUCAGUUUCAGACAAUCCCUUUGAAGAAGAACUUGUAAACAAUCUCGGAGAACCAAAGAAAGACGAACUCAAUUUCCUAUUAUUACUCGUCGGAGAAGGUAAACAUCCACCACCACCGCCACCGGCCAUUAUUUCUCACUUACUAAUUCCACUUCCAGAUCUAAUUCCCCGGAAAAGACAACAACGGGUGAAGAUGAUCGGAAACCGCCAUGGACUGUGAUUUGCUUACCGGAAAAAAGGGUGUUACUAAAACUAAAAUUUCAGUGACUUCCAUUAGUGAAAAGUGAAUUAGAAAGGAAAGGAAGAGAGAAACAAUGGUCAUAAGAGAUUCAGAGAAGAAUUUCUUAAAUCCAUCCCCCCGUCUUUCACGGUCCAGUGCCCCAAAAGGCAGAUUAAAAGGAAACCAGACGUGCUGUAGUAAGAACAGGACAAGAACAGAGACAAAAGAAAUGGAGAUCUUCUUUUUAUUAUUUAACUUUCUGUUAACCCAUAACAAUACAAAAUUUAAGCAUCGCUGAAAAGGAUUCAAGCCCUUAAGAAGAAGCAAAAAGACGAUGAAAUUGAGAGACAAAAAGCAGAGAAAAACUUAUAAAUUCAGUAGUUUAUCAGCUUCUCCAUUAUGGGUUUUGGUUUAACUGUGGGGGAGAUUUGGUUACUGAAAAUUAGUGGGUUAUGAAGAAAAGGUAAAAGGAGGAGGAGGAGGAAGAAG